Molecule: long non-coding RNA, 3420 nt
Filed under: Sarcophilus harrisii (Tasmanian devil)
Lineage: Eukaryota; Metazoa; Chordata; Mammalia; Dasyuromorphia; Dasyuridae
Description: lncRNA (ENSSHAG00000021285.1)
Source: RNAcentral
CAAAUAGGACAAAACUACUAUGGUAACAUAUGCUUGCAAAUGCAGAAAUUUAUUGCUCAACUGUCUAAAGAAAAUAACUUUUAAAACAUUUUUAAAUAUCUCAAAUGAAAUUUGAUGGUAUUUCAGAAUGACCACUACCUACUAGAUUGUGCAGAUGAGAUUUGAGGUGGAGAAAAAACUUAGCUGUGAAAUAUUAUGCUGUGUGAUUUUUUUUUAGGAAGAAUGAGUUCUGUAUCAUAAUAAGGUUUUAUUAGUUUAAUUCUUUGUUGAAACAAAAUGCAGUAUUGUAUUGGUACUCUCAGAAAUGGACUAGUAUUCUAGUCAUGAGUCCUCCGUCUCCUAACUGAUCUUCAAUAGAAUAGUCUUGAAAAGUCAGGUAAUUCACUGUCCUUGAACAAAACUGAAUAGAGCGAGCAGUCAGAUCACAUUGUUAUUCCCCCCAAAUACAAGGUCAGUGGGAGAUAUACGGUCAUUAUAUAGUUAUCUGCUGUAGGUUUGUUUGCCUAUGACAGCUUUUUUAAAAUGAGCUGCUGGUUAUAAGAAGCUAACAAAAUAUGACCAAGAAGCUGUGAUAUGCUAGUGUUCAUCUGCAUCAUAGUAUAUUGUUAGGCCAAAAUAAAAUGACCUUAUAAAUUUUUAUUAUGCUUUCAGAAAUUUAAAAUUGACAUUUCCAUAUGGUAUUUAAAAAAAAAAAUUUCUUUCUGCCCAUUUAAACUUCUCUUGCAGUACUGUAAGUUUGUGAUAAUCACAUGCACUUUCUGCCUGGGAACAUAUUCACAAUUCUAUUUAAGGGGACUUUUCCCAUACAACACUGUAAAUGUGUAUUCUCUGUAUAAAUUUGUGAAUUAAUCUUUAUCCCAUACAAAGAGUGGUACAAGGAUGACUAGUUUUCUAUGGUUUUCUUUUUAUUGUGAAUAAAAUAUAAAAUGGAGAGGCCCUCUGCUAAGCACCACAAAGUACAGAUAUGACUUCAUGUAAGUACAAAUAAGCCAGCUUGCAGUGAAUUGGGCCCUUCGGAUUACCUCAAGUGACACACAGUAAGAAAAGCUUCUUGAACAGGGGGUAGAGGUCACUGAAUCCCCUACUAUGCACUUAACAGGAUUUGACAUUACUUACUGGAAAUGGAUGUUUGUUUUUUGUUGUUUGGUUGUUGUUUUUUUUCUGAAUAUACUGUAACAAGGGAAGGAGUUGGGUUUUGUUGUUGUUGUUUUUUUUGUUUUGUUUUGUAGUAGCUAAAAUUCUGAAACUGUGAUCAACAAUUUAAAUAACUGUCAAGCACUCUCGGAUCUUGAAUAUAUUCACUUCCUGUUCCAUGUAGCAAAGUUCUCUUUAUUGUCUAUGUUAAAUUAUGUAAAAUCUCGCCCUAUUUCUGUCUCUUUACCUCAGUUUGAAGACUAGGCUACCUAUUUUUUUCAAUUAUUUCCAUCUCUGUGGUUCCCCCCCCCUCCCCUUUUGUUCAUUGGCUGUAUAGUCUGUUUACAUAUUUUUGUACUCAAGUGUAGUUUUAUAUUAAAAAGAAAAAAAAAGAAAAAUAGUAAAUUUAAUGAAAAAUAUUAAGGUACGUAGUCUUUGUAACACUUUCACUUUCACAAAUAGGGUACCUGAAAAUAUAACUCCAUAAAUUGUAAUUGGACCUAUGUUAUGCUUGCCUUUUUUGUUGGUUUUUACUUGCUGGUUGUCUUUCCCCCUCCUCCUUACCCCAAAUAUAAAUUGUUUCAUGAGACACUGGAAACUUUUCAUGCAAAUGUUUAGAAAGAUUUAAAAAUUGUAAAGUAAAAAGUCUUUAACUUUUUCUGUGGGAAGAAAAUGCUUUAAAAAAAUAUUGUUAUUGGUAUUGCAGGUUGGGGAUUUCCCUAGAUCCUCUUUUGCUUUUCAUAGUUGGACCUUUCCAAAAAUGCUGUUUGCAAAUUCACAAUGAUUGCUUAUGCUAGUCAGUUCACAAUAUCCUUUCAUUUUAUUUCUGUUCAAGUGCAAUACUUUCCAAGAAGUCUUAAAAAAAAUGGAGUCUACUUUUACCCCAUUUUUGACCUACACAUUCCUUAGUAACUAAGUCACAGUUUUUUAAACUUCAAGUUUAAAAACCUUCAAGUCACAGUAUUUUAAAGAACCAUAAUAAAUAUAUAAAAGCAAAAAAUUAAGAGAAAGCACUCAAUAGUGAAGAGGCUAUAGAAAUUAAGUGUGAAAGACACAGUCCUAAUUUCAAAAUAUAUUUAUUCAGACUGAAUUUUCCAUUUAAAUAUAUGGGACACUAGAUGAAUAAAUGGGCCUGAAAGUUGACAUUUUAAAAUUUAAAACUUAUUCUCUUACUUUGACUCUUGUCCAAUGUUACAAAUUAAAGAAUGCUUUUUUUUCUUUUUACAACAACUUUUUUAAAUGUAAAGAAAAGCACUUAACACAUUUAAAAAUAUAUAUAUAUAUAUAUAUAUACAUAUCGUCUCUGAGAGUACAGAAAAAUUUACUUGGAGCAAUCUCAUUCUCAUAAAUAUAAGUGAGGAUUAUUUUACAUAUCAUACAUAUUUAUAUGUAGUGUGCUGGGUUGAUUUUUUUUUUUUUUUUUUUUUUUGGUGUGUGUGUGUUUUUUACACCUGUUUCCCUGUAGAAAACUGCUCUUAUGUAAAUACAUGAUUAGUUAAAAGAUAAAUUCUGUGGCAUUUCUUUUAAAAUCAGUUUGCUACAUUUGUACAGUAGCCAUGUGUCUUGGCCAUUUUAGAUUUAUAUUUUCUUUUAACAAUACCAAAGGUAAUUAGACUAUGUUACAGACUAAUUGCUUGACAAAUUUCUAGGAUUUUUGAGUUUUAGAAGCAAAAAAAAAAAAAAUAGUUCAAACCAGUAAACCUCAUUUUUUCAAACUAAUUUGGAAAAAAAGAAAGCCUAUUGUUUAUAUAUAUUAUAUAUCUCUACGUCUAUGUAUGUAUGUACCAUAGAUGUAGACAUAUAUGUAUAGAUAUGGAUAUAUAUAUAUAUAUAUAUAUAUAUAUAUAUAUAUAUAUAUAUCCAUAUCUCAGACCUUGUCUGCCUGGCUUCUUCAGUUUGGGUGUCAUUUUAAAGACUUAAAUAUUUACCUCCAAAGAUGAGGUUUAUUAUGUAAGUUCAAAUAUAGCCUUUGCAGCCAUGUCACAAGUCACCCUCUUCUUUAUCCAGUUGAAGACCUCUGCUAAAAGGUUUUAUCACUGCAGACUGAAAUGUGGGAUUUGUAUUUUUCUUUACUUUGCUACACAUGCAUACAUGCUUUCUACAUGUAUGUGUGUACUGUAUAUGUGUAUGAGUGUUGUAUAUGCAUGUGUGAGUGUCUGUAUGUGUGUAAAACUAAAGAAUCUGCAGAAACUUUGUAAUACUUUGUGAAAAGGAUUAUAUUAUAAAGGUUUGUACUGUCUGAGUGCACAGCUACUGGAAUAAAUUUAGGGAAUCUCAGGAACAAGC